This 447-nucleotide ribosomal RNA is filed under the name uncultured bacterium. Its description in RNAcentral is "bacterial SSU rRNA". It matches the Rfam family "Bacterial small subunit ribosomal RNA", at positions 355 to 825 of the family's 1533-position model. The record is from RNAcentral.
UCGGGAAUUUUGGGCAAUGGGCGAAAGCCUGACCCAGCAACGCCGCGUGAAGGAUGAAGUAUUUCGGUAUGUAAACUUCGUAAGAAUAGGAAGAAUAAAUGACGGUACUAUUUGUAAGGUCCGGCUAACUACGUGCCAGCAGCCGCGGUAAUACGUAGGGACCAAGCGUUGUUCGGAUUUACUGGGCGUAAAGGGUGCGUAGGCGGCAUAUCAAGUCACUUGUGAAAUCUCCGGGCUUAACUCGGAACUGCCAAGUGAUACUGAUGUGCUAGAGUGCAGAAAGGGCAACUGGAAUUCUUGGUGUAGCGGUGAAAUGCGUAGAUAUCAAGAGGAACACCUGAGGCGAAGGCGAGUUGCUAGGCUGACACUGACGCUGAGGUACGAAAGCUAGGGGAGCGAACGGGAUUAGAUACCCUUGUAGUCCCUGAGCGGGCUGGCAAGGCGCAU